Molecule: ribosomal RNA, 719 nt
Filed under: uncultured bacterium
Lineage: Bacteria
Description: bacterial SSU rRNA
Rfam family: Bacterial small subunit ribosomal RNA
Source: RNAcentral
UACCCUGGUAGUCCACGCCGUAAAAGAUGUCUAAUUGGAGGUUGUGGCCUUGAGCCGUGGCUUUCGGAGCUAACGCGUUAAGUAGACCGCCUGGGGAGUACGGUCGCAAGAUUAAAGCUCAAAUGAAUUGACGGGGGCCCGCACAAGCGGUGGAGCAUGUGGUUUAAUUCGAUGCAACGCGAAGAACCUUACCUACUCUUGACAUCUACAGAAGCCAGCGGAGACGCAGGUGUGCCUUCGGGAACUGUAAGACAGGUGCUGCAUGGCUGUCGUCAGCUCGUGUUGUGAAAUGUUGGGUUAAGUCCCGCAACGAGCGCAACCCUUAUCCUUGUUUGCCAGCACUUCGGGUGGGAACUCCAGGGAGACUGCCGGUGAUAAACCGGAGGAAGGUGGGGACGACGUCAGGUCAUCAUGGCCCUUACGAGUAGGGCUACACACGUGCUACAAUGGCGCAUACAGAGGGCAGCCAACUUGCGAAAGUGAGCGAAUCCCAAAAAGUGCGUCGUAGUCCGGAUUGGAGUCUGCAACUCGACUCCAUGAAGUCGGAAUCGCUAGUAAUCGUGGAUCAGAAUGCCACGGUGAAUACGUUCCCGGGCCUUGUACACACCGCCCGUCACACCAUGGGAGUGGGCUGCAAAAGAAGUGGGUAGUUUAACCUUCGGGAGGACGCUCACCACUUUGUGGUUCAUGACUGGGGUGAAGUCGUAACAAGGUAACCG